This 252-nucleotide ribosomal RNA is filed under the name uncultured bacterium. RNAcentral's name for it is "partial 16S ribosomal RNA". It matches the Rfam family "Bacterial small subunit ribosomal RNA", at positions 524 to 776 of the family's 1533-position model. The record is from RNAcentral.
UACGUAGGGGGCAAGCGUUAUCCGGAAUUACUGGGCGUAAAGGGUGCGUAGGUGGCCUGACAAGUCAGGGGUCAAAGGCAACGGCUCAACCGUUGUAAGCCCUUGAAACUGUCGGGCUUGAGUUCAGGAGAGGAAAGCGGAAUUCCUAGUGUAGCGGUGAAAUGCGUAGAUAUUAGGAGGAACACCAGUGGCGAAGGCGGCUUUCUGGACUGAUACUGACACUGAGGCACGAAAGCGUGGGGAGCAAACAGG